AUUGAACGCUGGCGGCAUGCCUUACACAUGCAAGUCGAACGGCAGCACGGGAGCAAUCCUGGUGGCGAGUGGCGAACGGGUGAGUAAUAUAUCGGAACGUGCCCAGUCGUGGGGGAUAACGCAGCGAAAGCUGUGCUAAUACCGCAUACGAUCUACGGAUGAAAGCGGGGGAUCGCAAGACCUCGCGCGAUUGGAGCGGCCGAUAUCAGAUUAGCUAGUUGGUGGGGUAAAAGCCCACCAAGGCGACGAUCUGUAGCUGGUCUGAGAGGACGACCAGCCACACAGGAACUGAGAAACGGUCCAGACUCCUACGGGGGGCAGAAGUGGGGAAUUUUGGACAAUGGGCGCAAGCCUGAUCCAGCAAUGCCGCGUGCAGGAUGAAGGCCUUCGGGUUGUAAACUGCUUUUGUACGGAACGAAACGGCUCUUUCUAAUAAAGAGGGCUAAUGACGGUACCGUAAGGAUAAGCACCGGCUAACUACGUGCCAGCCGCCGCAGUAA
Molecule: ribosomal RNA, 500 nt
Filed under: uncultured bacterium
Lineage: Bacteria
Description: partial 16S ribosomal RNA
Rfam family: Bacterial small subunit ribosomal RNA
Source: RNAcentral